This is a non-coding RNA of Solanum lycopersicum (tomato), 682 nucleotides long. NCBI's taxonomy places the organism in Eukaryota, Viridiplantae, Streptophyta, Magnoliopsida, Solanales, Solanaceae. The record is from RefSeq and is a predicted model, not a curated record.
UCUCUGCUUUGUCUACCUUUUGCCGUUGCAAAUGCGCUCACUGCCAGACUUAAUGAUGGAGUUCCUAUGGUUGAUGAGUUCUGGGUUCUUCUCGCUUACACUGCAUACUCAGUAUCACUCUAUCUGCAUUUUGCCACUUCUGUUAUACAUGAAAUCACAUCAGCGCUUGGGAUAUACUGUUUCAGGAUAACAAGGAAAGAAGCUUGAGCCGUUUUGCGCUCUAAUUUUUGGUACACCUUUUUCUCGUUCUUGAUGAACUCGAGGUUAUAUUUUCCUUCGGUUAGUGGAUGAUACAGUAGUGAUCUUCUUGUUUCUAGCUUUCAACCUCGAACUACCUGGGAUUGAAGUUUGACUUUCCUUACCUAGUCGAUUCCUGAACCUGGCUUUUGAAGGAUGUUUGGGGUUCAACGAGUGCCUCUUUGACUUUUCACAGUUUGAGAGCGUUGUUUGAACUCGAUUUCAUGUUUAGUUCAAGUAGUUAAGAUGAAUUUCUUUUUUGAAUUUCCCUUUCGAUUUUAGUUGACUAAGAUGUUUCUCUAGGAUUUUUCGAUUAGUUGACCCCCUAAAGGUGUUAUGCUUUUGACAAUAUUUAUGUUGUUUGCAGAAUUGUUUGUUAUUGUAUUUGAAUUCAUUUAGAUUUGUUGAUACUUGAAAGGAGUAUAUAUUUCUCUUCUCUUCCCCA